Molecule: non-coding RNA, 82 nt
Filed under: human gut metagenome
Also listed under: 1 other name
Source: RNAcentral
UAACGGGGAGCUUUAUAGCUGAGAGGUUACUUUGUAACGACCCAUAACCUGAUCUGGAUAAUGCCAGCGUAGGGAUGCUAUA